Molecule: long non-coding RNA, 533 nt
Organism: Brassica rapa (field mustard)
Lineage: Eukaryota; Viridiplantae; Streptophyta; Magnoliopsida; Brassicales; Brassicaceae
Source: RefSeq, a predicted model, not a curated record
CCAUUAGCAAACGUUAUAAGCGGUUUAACCGCUUGGCAGCUAUCGUAUUCUGGUUUUGUGACUUCAACGACAUCGUGGAAUGCAGAAGGCCCAAGUUUUAAGAUUAGCUCCUACCGUCCAACCACUAGGACCACCAAUGGUAUGGUCUGUAGCUACUGUUAGACCGAUUAAUGUAGUCGCGAGGAGUACUGAGAUUAUGAUCAGCAUUUCUCUGGAUGCCAUUCUCUUCUUCUUUUGCGAGGGGAUUUCAACAAGAGAGUUGAAUGAUUAGAUCAAAAAGGUGAUGAUGGUGUUUGGUGCUUCACAUUUGGUGUCAAGUGUGUCUAUAUGUAGUAGUUUACAUAGAAGAAAUGAUUUGAGAAAAUGUUUUUGUGAGAAGAGUUGGUAAAUAACUAAACUUGUGUUUGUAUCUGUUGAGAGUUAGUAUCUAUGUUGGAUCAAGUAAAGAACUAAUAAUAAAUCAAGAAAGCUUUUGUUUCACCUAAUCCAUUAGACAAUGUAAUAAAUUUCGAUGUUUUUUUUUAAUAUAUAUU